GUCGAGCGGUAGCACAGAGAGCUUGCUCUCGGGUGACGAGYGGCGGACGGGUGAGUAAUGUCUGGGAAACUGCCUGAUGGAGGGGGAUAACUACUGGAAACGGUAGCUAAUACCGCAUAACGUCGCAAGACCAAAGAGGGGGACCUUCGGGCCUCUUGCCAUCAGAUGUGCCCAGAUGGGAUUAGCUAGUAGGUGGGGUAACGGCUCACCUAGGCGACGAUCCCUAGCUGGUCUGAGAGGAUGACCAGCCACACUGGAACUGAGACACGGUCCAGACUCCUACGGGAGGCAGCAGUGGGGAAUAUUGCACAAUGGGCGCAAGCCUGAUGCAGCCAUGCCGCGUGUAUGAAGAAGGCCUUCGGGUUGUAAAGUACUUUCAGCGGGGAGGAAGGCGAUAAGGUUAAUAACCUUGUCGAU
This 417-nucleotide ribosomal RNA is filed under the name Enterobacter sp. RNAcentral describes it as "bacterial SSU rRNA". It matches the Rfam family "Bacterial small subunit ribosomal RNA", at positions 61 to 476 of the family's 1533-position model. The record is from RNAcentral. Lineage: Bacteria; Pseudomonadati; Pseudomonadota; Gammaproteobacteria; Enterobacterales; Enterobacteriaceae.